GGGGGGCCCGCACAAGCGGUGGAGCAUGUGGUUUAAUUCGAAGCAACGCGAAGAACCUUACCAGGUCUUGACAUCCUCUGACAACCCUAGAGAUAGGGCUUCUCCUUCGGGAGCAGAGUGACAGGUGGUGCAUGGUUGUCGUCAGCUCGUGUCGUGAGAUGUUGGGUUAAGUCCCGCAACGAGCGCAACCCUUGAUCUUAGUUGCCAUCAUUUAGUUGGGCACUCUAAGGUGACUGCCGGUGACAAACCGGAGGAAGGUGGGGAUGACGUCAAAUCAUCAUGCCCCUUAUGACCUGGGCUACACACGUGCUACAAUGGACGGUACAAAGAGCUGCAAGACCGCGAGGUGGAGCUAAUCUCAUAAAACCGUUCUCAGUUCGGAUUGUAGGCUGCAACUCGCCUACAUGAAGCUGGAAUCGCUAGUAAUCGCGAUCAGCUGCCGC
This 443-nucleotide ribosomal RNA is filed under the name Bacillus cereus. RNAcentral describes it as "bacterial SSU rRNA". It matches the Rfam family "Bacterial small subunit ribosomal RNA", at positions 915 to 1360 of the family's 1533-position model. Lineage: Bacteria; Bacillati; Bacillota; Bacilli; Caryophanales; Bacillaceae. The record is from RNAcentral.